This 1125-nucleotide long non-coding RNA is filed under the name Monodelphis domestica (gray short-tailed opossum). RNAcentral describes it as "lncRNA (ENSMODG00000037093.1)". The record is from RNAcentral. Lineage: Eukaryota; Metazoa; Chordata; Mammalia; Didelphimorphia; Didelphidae.
CUCAUGUCUGUCUGAUUACAAAUACUGCCCUUUAUCUACAUUCAUUUCCUUCUUCUUUUAUACCCUCAGAAAAAUCACUGCUAUCUAUCCCAGCUUUAGCUUCUGCCUCUACAAAAUGGAAGGUUGGACUAUUUCUCUUUUAAAGUUCCAAAUCUUUAUCCCAUGAUCAUUUAAGUCAUAAUAUGUGCACGUAUACACACAUAGAGACAUGCACACACACAAAUGGAAAUACAUAAAUGGUCAGGAUAAAGACAAAGAAUAAGAUGGCCCCUCCUGUUUGGGACACACAUCUCAGAGGCACUUGUUUCAUGGAUCUCCAAAGGUCUUCCUUCCUGCUUGUUAAAUUUACCUGGAUGCUGCCUGCAUAGAAAUAUGGGAAGUGGGAGUGAAAACCAACCUGGCCUAUAACACCACGUAUGUCUCUCUCUCCACCCUAGAGAGAUCCUGGUUCAGAUCUCUCUCCCACUGUGGUUUUUAUUUCUCUCAAAAUGGACAUUCACAAAGAGUAUUGAAAUUGUUGUCAGUCUCUUUCCUCCAUCAUUAUAAUUAUAUUAAGAAUUCAGUAGUUUGGGUGCCAGGGUUAGAACUAUGGGCCUGUAAUUGCUUUGGGUGAUUAAGAGUUAACAUUGCUGACCUCCCCAGAGGGAUCUUGCAGGGAAUUACCAAUUAGGGGCUGCCAGGCUCUUUGAAAGUAUUAACUGCAGAAGGAGUGCUUAAUAACAAUAAUAAUAAUUGUAUAUAUUUUGUAGGGCUCUGAGCCAUUUCUUACCAACGGAAACUUUCUUUGCCAGUGCAUGCAUCCCUGUAAUUAUUCAAAUUGAAGAUUUUUCCCUCCUCUCUCUCUCUCUCUCUCUCUCUCUCUCUCUCUCUCUCUCUCUCUCUCUCUCUCUCUCUCUCUCUCUCUCUCUCUCUCUGUCUCUCUCUCUCUCUCUCUCUCUUUCAUUCUCUCUCUCUCUUAUUCACCAUAGUCUCUCAGGUGGAAAAAGGACACAGCAAGUCGUCCCAGAGGGGACCAAAAUCAAUCCCAGCUGCUCAUUAAAAGACCCUCAUCUGAUUGGAAGGGUUCUUACCAGUAGGAGUGCUCUUCACUUCUACUCCAAGCUUGUAAACCAAGAGGCUCAAUGA